This 24-nucleotide non-coding RNA is filed under the name Arabidopsis thaliana (thale cress). The record is from RNAcentral. Lineage: Eukaryota; Viridiplantae; Streptophyta; Magnoliopsida; Brassicales; Brassicaceae.
GAGGUGUCAAGUCGGAUGACUCUU